This 465-nucleotide ribosomal RNA is filed under the name uncultured bacterium. RNAcentral's name for it is "partial 16S ribosomal RNA". It matches the Rfam family "Bacterial small subunit ribosomal RNA", at positions 338 to 795 of the family's 1533-position model. The record is from RNAcentral.
CCUACGGGUGGCAGCAGUGGGGAAUAUUGCGCAAUGGGCGAAAGCCUGACGCAGCGACGCCGCGUGAGGGAUGAAGGUCUUCGGAUCGUAAACCUCUGUCAGCAGGGAAGAACGGUCACUGUGCUAAUCAGCAGUGAAUUGACGGUACCUGAAGAAGAAGCCCCGGCUAACUACGUGCCAGCAGCCGCGGUAAUACGUAGGGGGCAAGCGUUAUCCGGAUUUACUGGGUGUAAAGGGGGCGCAGACGGCGAUGCAAGCCAGGAGUGAAAGCCCGGGGCCCAACCCCGGGACUGCUCUUGGAACUGCGUGGCUGGAGUGCAGGAGUGGCAGGCGGAAUUCCGGGUGUAGCGGUGAAAUGCGUAGAUAUCAGGAGGAACACCGGUGGCGAAGGCAGCCUGCUGGACUGCAACUGACGUUGAGGCCCGAAAGCGUGGGGAGCAAACAGGAUUAGAUACCCCAGUAGUC